Cercocebus atys (sooty mangabey) is the source of this 103-nucleotide small nuclear RNA. The record is from Ensembl. NCBI's taxonomy places the organism in Eukaryota, Metazoa, Chordata, Mammalia, Primates, Cercopithecidae.
AUUUCACACAAGGCACUCACUUCAAAAUUGGAAUGAUAUAGAGAACAUUAGCAUGGCCCCCGCAUGGGGUGAUGCACAAAUUUAUGAAGCAUUCCAUAUUUUC